This 1497-nucleotide long non-coding RNA is filed under the name Homo sapiens (human). RNAcentral's name for it is "non-protein coding lnc-RNF39-4:1". Lineage: Eukaryota; Metazoa; Chordata; Mammalia; Primates; Hominidae. The record is from RNAcentral.
AUACAGGUGACCGUAUCCUGAGCCCCGGGCAGAGGCAGGACCGAGCCGCAAUCUGAACAGAAAUCCAGGUCCGACUGAAAGCUGGAGCAAGUAUUGGCGAGGUCCAUGACAGACAUGCGGUCGGGUCUGAGGAGGGAGUUGGAAGUUUAUUAACAAAAGAGAGAAGAGUUCCUGUCCCAGAGGUCGUAACUAUUCUGUCCCAGGACCUAGGAGUAUAUAACCCGAACCCUCCUGCCACGCACGCCUCCUGCCUCUGCGACCAAGGAGCCGAAACGCCCGGAAUUCCCAGACAGCGUCGGGUACUAAAGGACUUGGAACCCUUUCCAGGGGCCGGUGAGAGGAGUUAACCAACUCCGUGGGCUAGAGCGCCAGCUCUGCGCCCGCGGCGGGGCAGCGAGAUAGAGCCGGCUAGAGCGUCAGGCUUUCGCGUUGACGAUUGGCUGUGACGUCAUAAUUAAUUGCGAACCGUGUCUCGGGAGCGUUAGAGAUGGAGACUAACGUCUUCCAAGGGAGAUUGCGUCUCCACUUUCACCCUGGUACUGAGAGGUUGAGCACAAAAUUGGUAACCAAUGCUGCGCUUCCAGCAAAUUUUCCCACCAGCACCCAAUCCUGGGAUAUUUAUUCUCUUUGUCUCACAUCCUACAGGAACGCAGUCGCGGGGUAUAUCCCCCUGAAAACCGUACGUUGCCAAAUAAUGAUUUCUUUGGAUUAGAGAACUACAACUCCCCUGGGUCCUGAGCCGGUAUUUCCCUUUUGCGGCUGCACCGUAGUUAAAAACAAAGCUAAGUGUUCUGGGACGUAUAGUUCUAGCGUUCCUUGGGUCCCGCUGGCGAGCGUGGGCUUUCUGCAGCUCGCAACCGGCCUCGUGCUUUGCGGACGGUUCACUGCGCUUGGAAAGGGAUUGGCCUGGGGUACAUCAUCUAAAGAUCCUAGGAUUGCUGCAGGUCAGCAGUCUCCACUGGAAAAAAAGAUCUUGCAUGUAUUUCAAGUCCUCUGAUGAAUCAUGUGAUCUACUAGACCCUGAAGAUACAGUGAAGAGCAAAAGAACACAGAUGAAAUGAGAAACAAAAACGAUGGAGAAAACCAAAAAAGGGGACACAUGGGAUCCAGGCAAUAGGAGAGCCAGCAUAAGAGAGAGCCAGAGGGAUGCCCAGGAUGAGGUGAAGACGAUCUUGGAAAUCAGCCCAGAUGUGCAUGCACCAGUCCACGUGUGGCAGGACCAAGGGAAGUGUCUUCACAAAGAUGAGGCUUUGAUUUGUUGGAGAAACUGUUACCAGAAAAACAGGUCCCGAUCCCGACCCCAAAAGAGUAUUCUUGGAUCUUGCACAGGAAGGAAUUAAAGGUCUAGCUCUGUCUCCUCAGCACAUGUUCUAGGCUCUGACUGCAAGUGCUGACUUGGGCUCCCAGCCCCACACAGACCCUCUGUUCCAUGAAAGGGCCAUCUAUGCAAAGUGCCCCCCAAAUGCCAAAGGAGCCAAUAAACCAAGGAACAAGACA